CAUAUCCUCUACAUAAUAUACAGUUGUCAGAAAUGUGUUGGAUUUGACAGGUGAGGUGACCAAAAAGUGUAAAGGAGACAAAAUGUGAAAACUAUGCAACAUUUAUCCCCUAUGAACUUCAGUCUCUUUCUGGAAUAAACAUGAGAAUUCCUUGCUUUAAUGUUGACUGGAUAUAAUAGCUAGGUUAUUUUGAUAUAGAUUUAUAAAAUCACGGAAAGGCAAUAUUAGCUGUGUCUUUCUUCUGGUGACUAUAUUUUUGUACUGCAGAUGAAGGUUGUGAUUAGUGCUCAUCUCUUGGAACCUUGUACAAUUGGCACAGAAAGAAGGAAUUGGGGAUGGCAUGCUGGAAACCCCAGCAUCUUAAGUUUACCAUACUGGUGUGUGCUUUAGUCUGCUUACCUUUUCUCCAAAUUGGGAUGUAUAACUUAGUCUAAAAGUUCCCUAC
Molecule: long non-coding RNA, 445 nt
Organism: Corapipo altera (White-ruffed manakin)
Lineage: Eukaryota; Metazoa; Chordata; Aves; Passeriformes; Pipridae
Exons: 3
Source: RefSeq, a predicted model, not a curated record